AGAGUUUGAUCAUGGCUCAGGACGAACGCUGGCGGCGUGCUUAACACAUGCAAGUCGAACGGAAAGGCCCUGCUUGCAGGGUACUCGAGUGGCGAACGGGUGAGUAACACGUGGGUGAUCUGCCCUGCACUUCGGGAUAAGCCUGGGAAACUGGGUCUAAUACCGGAUAGGACCAUCGUUUAGUGUCGGUGGUGGAAAGUUUUUCGGUGCAGGAUGAGCUCGCGGCCUAUCAGCUUGUUGGUGGGGUAAUGGCCUACCAAGGCGUCGACGGGUAGCCGGCCUGAGAGGGUGGACGGCCACAUUGGGACUGAGACACGGCCCAGACUCCUACGGGAGGCAGCAGUGGGGAAUAUUGCACAAUGGGCGCAAGCCUGAUGCAGCGACGCCGCGUGGGGGAUGAAGGCCUUCGGGUUGUAAACUCCUUUCAACCAUGACGAAGCAUUAUGUGACGGUAGUGGUAGAAGAAGCACCGGCUAACUACGUGCCAGCAGCCGCGGUAAUACGUAGGGUGCGAGCGUUGUCCGGAAUUACUGGGCGUAAAGAGCUCGUAGGUGGUUUGUCGCGUCGUCUGUGAAAUUCCGGGGCUUAACUCCGGGCGUGCAGGCGAUACGGGCAUAACCUGAGUGCUGUAGGGGAGACUGGAAUUCCUGGUGUAGCGGUGAAAUGCGCGGAUAUCAGGAGGAACACCGAUGGCGAAGGCAGGUCUCUGGGCAGUAACUGACGCUGAGGAGCGAAAGCAUGGGUAGCGAACAGGAUUAGAUACCCUGGUAGUCC
This 774-nucleotide ribosomal RNA is filed under the name uncultured bacterium. Its description in RNAcentral is "bacterial SSU rRNA". It matches the Rfam family "Bacterial small subunit ribosomal RNA", at positions 8 to 796 of the family's 1533-position model. The record is from RNAcentral.